AGGCCGGUUCUAAUCUGAGGGAGUCAUGCUAGCACAGGCUGUGAUGCCUGUAGUGUUUGUGCUAGGCGAAUCCAUAAGCCUAGGGACGAGAAAUCGUUACGGCAGUCGAAAUGGCUAAGUCUUCGGAUAGGUCAGAGUAGGCUUGAAAGUGCCACAGUGACGGAGUCUUUCUGGAAACGGAGAGAGUGGAACGCGGUAAACCCCUCAAGCUAGCAACCCAAA
Molecule: unclassified non-coding RNA, 222 nt
Filed under: uncultured Streptococcus sp.
Lineage: Bacteria; Bacillati; Bacillota; Bacilli; Lactobacillales; Streptococcaceae
Description: partial ribonuclease P RNA
Rfam family: Bacterial RNase P class B
About the family: Ribonuclease P (RNase P) is a ubiquitous endoribonuclease, found in archaea, bacteria and eukarya as well as chloroplasts and mitochondria. Its best characterised activity is the generation of mature 5'-ends of tRNAs by cleaving the 5'-leader elements of precursor-tRNAs.
Source: RNAcentral